This 841-nucleotide long non-coding RNA is filed under the name Solanum tuberosum (potato). RNAcentral describes it as "long non-coding RNA (STUB_LNC003081)". The record is from RNAcentral. Lineage: Eukaryota; Viridiplantae; Streptophyta; Magnoliopsida; Solanales; Solanaceae.
CUAUGUCUAGCUCGUAUAAUAUUCAUGGCCUCCUGAUUUUCUUCCUUGUAUCCACACAUUCAUUUGCUAUGAAAAUGGCAUCCAUGAUCUGUCCAUAUUAUAUAGCCCAUGCUCUAGAUGUUCAGUCUUGAGCAUGUGAGGAGGGAGGGUUAAAAGUUUCACAUUGGUUGUGGGAUGGGUAAUUAGUCUUCUUGUAUGAUUUUGGGCAAUCCUCACCUAAUUUAUGGGUUGAGUUAGGCCCAAGAUCCAUUUCUUCACAAUAAUAUUUCAAACUAUUUGGCCCCCAAGGCCUAGCUCAAGUGGCAAAAGGUGGAGGAUUUGUGGCUUAGGUCGCAGGUUCAAGCCCCACACCAUGCAAAGCGAAGCUCGGUAUUUAAGUGGAGAAGGGUAGAGGGGCGGGUCCAUUAUCCACCGAGUUUAGAAGGCUGUGAUUGGUCCAAAGGGCAUGUCACAGACAGAUUUCUCGGUUAUCAAAAAAAAAAUAAAAAAAUUCAAACUAUUUGGAAAAACCAAAAAACGCAGUCCAAGAAAUAAUUGUUUCACAAUCCAAUGGCAGUACUUAUAUUUUUCGGAACAGAAGUACAUUUUUGUCAAUAUGUGCAAUUACUGAUAUUCGUACAUGCUUCUACAUAUUUAAAAUUUAUUUUCAAGAAAUUAUUUGGUCUUGUUUAGUUCUUAAAAUUGAUCAAAUUGGAUGUAAGUCAGGACUCUUGCGUUGUUCGAAGGAGUGGGUUUAGCUCUAGUGGAAAAAGGUGGAGGAUUUGUGGCUUAGGUCGCAGGUUCAAGCCCCACACCAUGCAAAGCGAAGCUCGGUAUUUAAGUGGAGAAGGGUAGAGGGGCG